Molecule: long non-coding RNA, 3167 nt
Organism: Monodelphis domestica (gray short-tailed opossum)
Lineage: Eukaryota; Metazoa; Chordata; Mammalia; Didelphimorphia; Didelphidae
Source: RefSeq, a predicted model, not a curated record
AAACGCCUUUGCCACUCACUGAGGUUGCUGUUGUUUUCCGGUCCGGUCCGGUUGGUAUCGGUAAACAGCGAUCGGCUGAAGUUUCCCAGGCGCUCCCGGACUGGAUCAGGCAGUUCCAUGGCUUCGCUCUAGGGCCGGUGUAGCCCACUAGCCAGUCAGCCACAGUUCCCAGUGGAGUCCCGGUACUCUCCCCCUCCCCUAACUCCUGCCGGCGGUGGUUCCUAUGGCAACCCCGGGGCGGGGCCGCAGGCCAGACCCUGACGCCUGCGCGUCUAGGGCACGCCCUUCACCUGGAUCCUAUAGGGAAGCUGUCAGAGAGAAGAUUCACAAUUUCAAUCUUUCAAGUCCAUGAAAGGAGAUCAAGAAGCCAUCAUGUGUGGAAUCAGGACCUGGGUUCAAAUUUGGCCUCAGACACUGGGCAAGACACUUAACCCUGAUUGCUCUAGCCCUUGCCACUCUUCUGUCUCAGAACUGAUUUACCAAGUGAUAAUAGUAAGAAAGAAAGGAAGGAAGGAAGGAAGAAAGAAAGAAACCAUGCUAUAGAACUUCAACCAUGUUCCUGUUACCAGUUUACUGCACUAGAAACUUUGGACAAUUUCCUCUUGGAUAAUAUCUGGGAAUAUCUCUCUUGAUUGAGCUGAGUUAUAUGACUCCCAGAUGAAGAGCUGAUUCAAUUUAUAUUGUCUAGCAUAUAUAGUAUGUUUCCUCUGAUUUCUCUUUUGUCAUCAACUUGGAUAAAUGAAUUUAUAUGCUAUGUUUGUUCAUUGUGGAACUGGCAUUUGGUUGUAAAAGUCAAGCCUUUAAUAUAAAGGCUUUUAAUAUAAAGCUUGGGCUGUCCUUUCCCAGUUUAUGAAUGGUCAUCCAGCUGGAACCUAAAAAUUGUCUCCCCUAGACUAAUACUAUUUAAGGGAGUAGAUAGGAUAUACUUCUCAUCCAGUACCCCUUUUCUCUGAGGAGAUCAGAAUACCAGUUUCUGGUCCAAACUUCUCACUUUCCUUCUUGGCAGGAAUCAUCCCUAGAAGAAGGGUGAAGUUAGGAGACACUAAAGAUUUCUAUUUCUCCCACUCAUCAAGACACAUCUAGGCAGACCAAUGUGGACAUAUAUAAACCUAGAUGGGGGGAAAAACAGCACUCAAUCCAACACCUGAUUAUGUAAAAUAACAAUUAAAAUGCUUUUGAAAAAAACAAAUUUACAGACUCCAGGUUAAAACCUGCAGCUCUAAAGAUGUAACAGGAUUUAAAAUCUCAAAUAUUAUUUAGGCUAUUCGGAAAAAAACAACACUAAGAGGAAGUAUAAUAGUAGAUAAAACUUCCCUCCUACUCCCUACCCAUCGGAGGCAAUAUAGUAAGGCAGGUAAGUGUAUGGGCUCUGUAAGAGUCAGAUAUUAUUGUUCAAACUACAGCUCUAUUGUUUAUUAGGAAGCUAGGUGGGGUAGUGGAGAGAGCACUGAAACUGGAACAAGGAAGAUCUGAAUUCAAAUCCUGUCCCAGUAACUAGUUGAGAAAGUCACUUAACUUAUCUCAGUUUCCUCAUCUAUAAAGUGGAGAUAAUAACAUCCACCUUCUAGGGUUAUUGGGAGGACAAAAUAAAAUAUUUGUAAAGUGCUUUGCAAACAUUAGUGUUGUAUAAAUGCUAGCUAUUAUCAUUCUCACUACCUGAAUGAUUGGUUAAGUCAUUUAAAAUAUCUGAAUUUCAGUUUCUCAUCUGUAUAAUGAGAUUAGACUAAUUUGCCUCAAUGAUCCUCUUCCAGCUCUAACAUUAUGACUUUCCAAUUCAUUAUUUAUUACAAGAAUAAUGCUAAAAUGAAGACAUACUUUUAAAAGAAUAUUUUUAAAGUUACUCAAAGGGUAACAUUAAAAGUAUGACUAUAUCUCCCAACCAAAAUUGUAAAAUGGACUUUAAAGCAUUUUGCAGAAUUUUGGUCAGUUUUGGAAAUAAUGUGUAUAUAUGUAUUAAAAUGCCUUUAGAUUGAUUCAUAUCAUACACAUUAUGAUGACUCUCACUCAUCUUAGAUGUCUCAAAAUAUUUUCUUCACAUUAGCAAGAGAUAAUUACCAACACUUUAAAUCACUGUCAAAAUAUUUGCUAUUCACAAUCCCAUACAAAGAGUUAUAAAUCAGGUUAUGAAUUACAGACACAGCCAAACCACAUUAGAAUAAAAAUCUUUUUCACACCACAUUAGGUGGUUUAAGAACCUCUUUAAUGUUUUGAUUUCAAAGACUUUCACAUUGAACAUUUUAUUAGAAAAUUAUUUUCCUUUAAAAUGGUUUGUGUUAUAGGUUCUAUGAUCUGUGAUAUAUUCUUUCACCUACCUACCAUGCUGUUCACUUUCUGUAUCAAUCAAAUGAUAAGCUUUUCCUGUGUAUCAAACUAUGUGAGAAAUAGCACUAAAGUUGAAAAAAGAUCAGUAGAACACCAAGAUGCUUUUUAAAAAAAGUUUAGCUUUGUCAAAUGGAUUAUAUGUGAAAUUUCAGCAAAUUUGGCUUCAUAAGUAAGAAAUACUAUUUUUAUUAUGAAUAGCUUUUCCCCUAAUGCUAAUAUUAAGUUACUGUGCUAUGUGACUUGUAGACCAUUUCUUAUAGAGAAUGUUUCUUUUUCUUUCACCUUUUAUUGAAAGCAAUUAAAUUUGGUUCCCCUCCUAGGUUUUCCUUUUUUUUGUUGUUCAUUUAACACUAGGCUUUUGCCUCGUAAAGUUUGCUUUGCAAUGCACAAACAUCUUAAAUGUUGAUCACCAGCCACAUGUGAAAGGUUUAAUAAGCAGAAACCUGAGGUGCCAUCACAUUAGGACAAAAUGUUUCCGGAUAUGAGACAGGAUUAAAAUAAUAAGCAUUGUUUAUUAUGUUUACCCCAAUCAUUGUAAAUCUCCAACUUGUUCUAAAAUUUAAUUUACAAUGGGAAAUGGAAAGUUACAACAUUUAUCUUACGAAUUUUGAUUAUAUAUUAUGUCAAAAGUCUUUGUUUCAAUCUAUCUACAUAUUAGCAAUAGGUAAAACAAAGUUACUGAAAAUUUUGCCUUUGAGUUUGAAAUUAGAAAGUGAUUGGAUCUCUGUUUCACCACUAACUUGGUAGACACUGGCUGUGCUCCCAGACUGAUGCUCCUGGGGGCUCUGGCAAAUAAGACCAAGUAAUAAACACCAGAUGUAGUAUCUAAUAAAAUCAAAUAUCAG